Molecule: long non-coding RNA, 1373 nt
Filed under: Triticum aestivum (bread wheat)
Lineage: Eukaryota; Viridiplantae; Streptophyta; Magnoliopsida; Poales; Poaceae
Description: long non-coding RNA (TAES_LNC008514)
Source: RNAcentral
AAAGAUCAAACAAUGGGCAGCAGAAAUACCAACGAACUAGAAUAAUAUAUUACUAAGACGUGACAUCGUGGCCCAUUUAAUCCACGAAUGUUCCAACCCGCACGGAAUAACUCGGACCACUCGGAGCGAAACAAUAACCAUCACAACCUCAAGUCUCGGAUAAGAGACGACAUAAUAAUAACUAGCAGCAGGCUUCGUCGCCUCCACCACAUAACAUCGACUGUUUAGUCCACCUCCUCAAUCUUGGGGCCGGGGCCGCCGGACGCAGCUGGGGUGUCGUCGUCCAUGCCGCCCUCCAUGUCAGCACCAGCACCCUGGUACAUCUUGGCGAUGAUGGGGUUGCACAGGGCCUCCAGCUCCUUCAUCUUGUCCUCGAACUCGUCCGCCUCAGCGAGCUGGUUCGUGUCCAGCCACUGGAUGGCAGCAUCGAUGGCAUCCUCGAUCUUCUUCUUGUCGUCCGCCGGCAGCUUGGAGGCGAUCUUCUCGUCCUUGAUGGUGUUGCGCAUGUUGUACGAGUAGUUCUCCAGGGCGUUCUUGGACUCCACCUUCUUCUUGUGCUCCUCGUCCUCGGACUUGUACUUCUCAGCUUCCUGGACCAUCUUCUCGAUCUCCUCCUUGCUCAGCCUGCCCUUGUCGUUGGUGAUGGUGAUCUUGUUCUUCUGCCCAGUCGUCUUGUCCUCGGCAGACACGUUCAGGAUACCAUUGGCGUCGAUGUCAAAGCAGACCGUGAUCUGGGGAACUCCCCUGGGAGCAGGAGGGAUGCCAGACAGCUCGAACUUGCCAAGAAGGUUGUUGUCACGGGUCCUGGUCCUCUCACCCUCAUACACCUGGAUGAGCACACCAGGCUGGUUGUCCGAGUAGGUGGAGAAGACCUGCUCCUUCUUGGUGGGGAUGGUGGUGUUCCUUGGGAUCAAGACUGUCAUCACACCCCCGGCUGUCUCCAGACCAAGAGAAAGAGGAGUGACAUCCAAUAGCAGCAGGUCCUGGACCUUCUCGUUGCCCUCUCCGCUCAAGAUGGCAGCCUGGACAGCAGCCCCGUAGGCAACAGCCUCAUCAGGGUUGAUGCUCUUGCAGAGCUCCUUGCCGUUGAAGAAGUCCUGGAGAAGCUGCUGCACUUUUGGAAUCCUAGUGGAACCACCAACAAGGACAACAUCGUGCACGGUGCUCUUGUCCAUCUUUGCAUCCCUGAGACACUUCUCCACAGGCUCCAUACACUUCCUGAACAGAUCCAUGUUCAUCUCCUCAAACCUAGCCCGGGUGAUGGUGGAGUAGAAGUCAAUGCCUUCAAACAGCGAGUCAAUCUCAAUGGUGGUCUGCGCAGUGGAGGAGAGAGUCCUCUUUGCCCUCUCACAGGAUGUCCUCAGCCUCCGAAG